AGUGGAAGCGUCUGGAAAGGUGCGCGAUACAGGGUGACAGCCCCGUACACAAAAGCGCAUGUGCUGUGAGCUCGAUGAGUAGGGCGGGACACGUGGUAUCCUGUCUGAAUAUGGGGGGACCAUCCUCCAAGGCUAAAUACUCCUGACUGACCGAUAGUGAACCAGUACCGUGAGGGAAAGGCGAAAAGAACCCCGGCGAGGGGAGUGAAAAAGAACCUGAAACCGUGUACGUACAAGCAGUGGGAGCACAGGUUUACCUGUGUGACUGCGUACCUUUUGUAUAAUGGGUCAGCGACUUAUAUUCUGUAGCAAGGUUAACCGUAUAGGGGAGCCGUAGGGAAACCGAGUCUUAACC
RNAcentral lists this ribosomal RNA (355 nucleotides) under Salmonella enterica. RNAcentral describes it as "bacterial LSU rRNA". It matches the Rfam family "Bacterial large subunit ribosomal RNA", at positions 331 to 689 of the family's 2925-position model. RNAcentral also lists the same sequence under 1 other name. Lineage: Bacteria; Pseudomonadati; Pseudomonadota; Gammaproteobacteria; Enterobacterales; Enterobacteriaceae. The record is from RNAcentral.